This is a long non-coding RNA of Lolium perenne, 614 nucleotides long. RefSeq lists it as uncharacterized. NCBI's taxonomy places the organism in Eukaryota, Viridiplantae, Streptophyta, Magnoliopsida, Poales, Poaceae. The record is from RefSeq and is a predicted model, not a curated record.
CUCGCGCUGUCAAUCCUUUCCCUCUCCCAUUCUCGCGCAGAUCUCUCUCCUUCCCUGUUUUCUUGAUCUUUUGCCUCACGAAAUCUCUAUCUGAGCGAGCGGUUGCAUCCAGACACAAGGAACCAGUUCCCCUGUCCGCCACCUGUGACCCUAGCUGUGGGCGUCGCCGCCGUCCGGCUUAAAUCGGUACCGGAGUAACAACGACGGCCGGCCGCCGCAAGCACGGCAAGCCACUGGAAGGAUUCAGCACUGAACGCUGCAAGGUUGCAACGUUGAGGAAGUUUGAAGAAUAAGCAAAAAAGUUGAAGUUCAGAACACGGAGGAUUGAUGGCCGGCGGGGAAUCACUACUGUUCAUGUGCGCUUCCUGCUUCCUUAUUUGGUUUGUCAAACUUGUGUGUUAUGUCAGACCUAUCAAUGUGUCCGUGUGUGCGAAACUACUGAUAUGCACUACUCCGGCUCGGAGCUGUGGUGCUUCCUCGACGCCAAGUUGUGUAAUCCUUCUUUACCAACUUCCCUUUCUAUGAACGUCCAUCAUGUUUUCUCCCACCGGAUCGAUAGUUGCUACUCUAAUACUCUCCACUGAAGAGAGAAGUGGAAUUGAUUAUUUUUAAAA